This is a long non-coding RNA of Manis pentadactyla (Chinese pangolin), 4902 nucleotides long. RefSeq lists it as uncharacterized. The record is from RefSeq and is a predicted model, not a curated record. Lineage: Eukaryota; Metazoa; Chordata; Mammalia; Pholidota; Manidae. The transcript has 5 exons.
AGGGACUGAGGAGGUCACCCGGGCUGUGGGAAGAGGGGCACGGGGUCAGAAUCGAAGGAAGCUGGAAGCUGAGGAUUUUGGGGUGGGAUACCUGGGGGUAAGGAGGAUGGAGCCGCUGAGAAGGACGGAAAGGGGAUACACUGGCGUUAUGAAAUCCCCUCUAGGGUGGACGGAGACAGAUAACUAAUAGACUAAACCCUGCCUGGGAAAAGGAUUCCUUACUACCUCCUCACACAGUACUAGCUUGCCUGCAAAACCUGGCUUGGGUGGGAAGUAUUUCUAGGUAGCAGAAGUCUUUGAACCCAGGGUUUAAAAAAAGUCUUUUUUGUUGUUAAAAUGCUAGUAAAAUCUCAAGGGCAAUGAUUUCCUUAAUGCAUACCCAAAAACAAAGCUCUGGUUAAAUGCAGAGUGGUUGGUUGAUCACCGUGAAAGAGGAACUUAAUUUGUGAAUUAUCUCUGAGAAAGGGCAGUCUAUCAUUUUAAAUGCAAAUGAUGCCCCCUAAAAAAGCUGCCCUGUUUUAAAACUACUAAUCAAGUUUGAUUUGAUUUAGGAAUAUUUUAUCAAUCAGCUGAAGAUAGAAGGAACACCUCCCACGCCAUGUAACAAAUGAAAUCCCAAGUAACAGUCGCUAUGAGGGUUACACACAAGGCGGUGUGAUAUUUGCAACUAGUCGAAUACUCGUGGUUGAUUUCUUGACUGAUAGAAUUCCUUCAGAUUUAAUUACUGAAACCUUUGAUGAUUUAACUAAAAUUAAUUCAGGAGCCCUGCUUCUGUGACCUCAAGUUACCUUGUGCUUCUCUCUAGUGAUAGUGCUUCAAAACACUACACUGUAUUUGCUGUUUAUUUACUCCUCUCACUUGUGAGAUAAUAAGCUUCGUAAGUACAAGGAACAACUUACUCAUCCUGGACGAAGUAACUGGUCCAUAGCAGGCAUCUUGGUGUUCAGAGCUCACAGAAUCAUCAAGUCCUGUCAAGAAGCAUUCAUCUUGCGCCUGUUCUGCCAGAAAAAUAAAACGUGGCUUCAUUAAAGCUUUCACAGACAAUGCUGUCGCCUUUGACACUGGUUUUUGUCAUGUGGAAAGAAUGAUGAGAAAUCUCUUCGUAAGGAAGUUGUAUCUGUGGCCAAGCUAAACAGCAUUAUGUGACAGACAUCUGUUCCAUGUAGCAGUAAACUCAUUUUUAGAACAGCACAAACCUGAAGUCCUAGAAAUUCAUGUCUCUAUGACACCAGCCAUGCUUGCUAUACAGACUGCCAUACUGGACAUCUUAAAUGCAUGUUUGAAGGAACUGAAGUGCUGUAACUUGUCACUUGACGUUGAAUAUUUAUCUUUAGAAAACACUAUUGGAAAAUCCUUUGACAAGAUAUUCUGUUUCUUUUCCCUUUUAAGCAUAGCUUGUCCUGUUAAAACCGUAGAGAAUGCAAGUUAAUUUAGUAUUGCCAUGUUCUUAAUAGGAAUUUGCUGUUAUUUUAAAAUUAAAUUGGAAGUGAUUUAAAGUAUAGCUUCUUUGGUUUAGUGGAAAGUAAUUUAUAGUGACAUACAUGGAUUGGCAUAUCCGCAUGACUCUAAUUUUUGCAGUUAUACAGUGAUUAUCUCUCAUUUUACGUAUAAUGAAGAAAAAGAUAAAUACCUUUUUGCUCUGAAGCAACCUUUGGAUAUCUUCAGGUAGAAGAGUUUUACAUAAGUGCAUUUGUAAUUUAUGAUCUCUUGUUUCGAGUAAAAAUAAUUUGGAUGAGUUUUCACUAUUGAGGAAUGUGAAACUUGCUCUGUCCUAAAAGUACAUUCCGAACUGAGAAAAUGGUAAGACUUUAGUUCAAGGAAUUUUUAUUCUGAUUUUUUUAUCAUAGAUUAAUAUUAAUACAGACACAUAAAUGUCUAAGAUUGAAUUAUAGAUCCUGAAAAUGCUGACUUUUUAAAAAUUCCAGGCAACUUACUUUAGAUAUUUUGGUAGAACAAGUUCCUGCCUUUUUAAACUCUGAAUCGACCCUUUGUGGCUGGAAGAGGAAAAAUGUAACUCCUCAUUUCUCUGAUUCAUCCAAAAAUUAUUUUACUGUGGAAUAAUGAUACAUAAGACUAAUUUCAUGUGUUUUGUUCCUCUACUCUUAAAGCUUAGGGCAUAGUGAAACCAAAAAAACCUCCACAUCUUCACAUUCUUUUAAUAGACUGUAUAUUCCUAGAAAAACAAAAUGUAGCCUAGUAUGUUUUGCACUAAAUUUCUGUUUAUCAUCCCCUGGCUAGUAAAAAUCAAAGUUACUUUUAGUAACCAAAUCUACAUACAACUUGGGUCUUGUUAGAAAAUUUAAUUUUUGUAGAUGAUUUUAUAAAACAAGCAUGCAAAUAUAUGUCCCAGUAUAUCUAAGACAGCCUUGGUAUCUGCCUAUUGUCCUGGAGUAAUCAUUAGUAGUAGCAUUUCAUUUUCACAAGAGUUGUGUUUUGAGCAACAAAUCUUCUAAGUAUUAUUCCUGCUCAGUAUUAAAUUUGUUAGAUAAGAUGCCAUGUAGUGAUACUGCUUCCCUAUCAUGUUGUGUAUCAUCUUUUUAAAUUACAGAAUCAGUUUACGAAGGACAGGAAGUGUGUGUGUGUGUGUGUGUGUGUGUGUGUGUGUGUUUGUACACCCACAUAACCCACAUAGUAUAUACAAAAAGCUGUUCUGUGUUUUAGGCAACUUUUUAGGAUCUUAAAAGUUAUUCAAACUUAGCCCACUGUUAAUUUAACAAAUAUCUUCCCAUCCAUGAAGCACAGUGGUAAAAAAAUUAACAAAUAUUUUAUGCCACCAAAUUAAGAUACAUUGUUGUUUAAUUUGAUACCACAUUGUUUCCCUGGUUUAUGCCUUCAGCUUCAUCAUCUCUCUGACUGGAUCCCACAUCUUUAUCUAUCCAGGAUAAGAUCUCAGCCCACCUUGGCAGAAAUUGAGUGUUUCUGAGCUACCUGCUUUGACUUUUCAUAAAAACAAACAAUUGAUUAUCUGAUUCUUAUCAGGUCUUUUCUCUCCUGACCAAUAAAGUAAAUGUAGAUAAUUAUGAAUUGACUAUCUGAUCAUAAAGACUUUAGUGAUAAGAUACUCUGUUUCAUUUUUGAAAAAUUAAACAUAUAAUUAGAAUCUUAGGAACUGAAAUUUUCUGUCCACCUCCUUGGGAGAUAAUGUUUUGGAUUUUUUGUAUGUGUGUGACAAAAUAUAUGUGAACAUAAAAUUUACUAUUUUAACCAUUUUUCGGUACACAGGGAUAAUGUUUUUUGAGACUAUAGUGUUAAUAAUAGCUAUGUAGAACAUAUUUUUAGCAAUAUUAAAUUUUACCCUUAUUUUAGACAAUCCACCAUUAUCUGGAUCCUUUGUGGCACCAGCUUGGAGCCAAGACUAAAUCCUUGGUUCAGGAUUUGAAGAUACUACGAACUUUGCUGCAGUAUCUUUCUCAGUAUGAUUGUAUCACAUUUCUUAAACUUCUGGAAUCUCUGAGAGCAGCAGAAAAGGCUUUUGGUCAGAAUUCAGGUUGACUGUUUCUGGACUCCUGCACCUCGAUGUUUCUAAAUGAUCGAGCAAGGGUUUAUCAUGUUCCAGAUGCCAAAAUGAGCAGGAAAGGAAAAAUGUCUGAAAAAAUGGAGUUUAAAGAAGGGCAGGGUAUGUCAUAGGCUUAAGUCUUUAAAUGUGUCUUUUAUUUCAGUGAUUGGUUGGAAGUACUUAACAAGUUAAUGUGUGAUUUUAAGUCUCCUUCAGCCAUCAGAAAAUGUAUGCCGGUAUGAUAAAUGUAUGUUGUAUGUAAUUCUGUUAAAAGUAUUAACAUGACAAGUCUUAGAAUCUGUUGCUGGGGAUUCUGGAUAACAAAGGCCAAGUAUCAAUCAAGAACAUUCUUACUUCUACUUAAGAACUAGAUUGAUUUUUUGUAACUUUAGACUAAUAAUUGCCACUUCUGUCACUUAAAGUCUUAAUGGAAUAUUUUAACAUCCCUCUGGGCUUUUAAAAGACAUAAAUAUACUAGAAUGAGACAAAUAUGGAUUUUAUUCCGACACUCAUCUAGUAGAUAUAAUGAAUAUUGUUUUUUUAAGGUAUGGGAGAGGGCAAAUGCUUACUUUCUGCUUAGUUCAAAGGUCUAGUUCAAAAGUUAAAUAUUUUAGGGAUGUGUUUGAGUACUUUACUAACAGAAAUAAAAGUUUGUUGUCUACUUCUAUUGCAUGUUCAGGGUUGUGAAAAUCAUGAUGAUUAUAGAAAUAAUCAAUGCUAUUAUUCUGUUCUGGUUCCUUUAUCUGUAUAGCAGCUUAUACAUAGUGUCACAGUUGACAGUUAACACAGAAUAAUCUAGUAUUAGUAACCAUGCAUAUAACUUUCUAUUGAGACAUUAUAAAGCUUGUAUUAAUGUUUGUUUGAAGCAUCUUUCCUUUAGACCAUAACUAGACAAUUUUCAGGAAAAUAGAUUGUCUAGCAUUAUGAAGGCCCCACAAAGGAAAGGGAUAAGAGAAUGAUGCUUGAGUUAUCUCUUGGACAGAGGAAACUUGACCCUGCCCUCCCAACUCCCUGCCUGCCUGUGCCUCACCUGAAAGCUGCCUGUGUCCUUGGAUCCCCACCCUCUGGAUAUAAAAUAGUUUGCCUCUAAACUUUUGUAGUUAAUUCUUGUAUUAAAUUCCUUUGACAUCUAAUGUGAGUUUUGUGUUCCUGGCUGCACCCUGACUAAUAUAAACACCUUUGCAAAAAAGCACAUCAAGGUUGACAUCACUAAAGGUGUGCCUAUGUUUCACUGUUUGAAUGUUCCAUGAAUGUUCUAACAUUUAUUUAAUCAUUUGGCUAUUGAUGAACAUUUAACUUCUUUCCAAGUUUUUUGCUACCACAAUUUGUGCUGUAAUGAAUAUAUCUGUAUAUAUAUGUAUUUCUAUAGGACAGAGUAAAAUUGCUAGGAGUAAUAUUGCUAGGUC